AUUGAACGCUGGCGGCAGGCCUAACACAUGCAAGUCGAGCGAGCGGCGGACGGGUGAGUAAUGUAUGGGGACUGCCCGAUAGAGGGGGAUAACUACUGGAAACGGUGGCUAAUACCGCAUACUAUCGGAUAACCCAUAUGGGAUUAGCUUGUAGGUGAGGUAACGGCUCACCUAGGCGACGAUCCCUAGCUGGUCUGAGAGGAUGAUGAGCAACACUGGGACUGAGACACGGCCCAGGCUCCUACGGGGGCAGCAGUGGGGAAGAGUGCACAAUGGGCGCAAGCCUGAUGCAGCCAUGCCGCUUGUAUGAAGAAGGCCUUCGGGUUGUAAAGUACUUUCAGUCGGGAGGCGUUACCGACAGAAGAAGCACCGGCUAACUCCGUGCCAGCAGCCGCGGUAAUAC
RNAcentral lists this ribosomal RNA (403 nucleotides) under uncultured bacterium. Its description in RNAcentral is "partial 16S ribosomal RNA". It matches the Rfam family "Bacterial small subunit ribosomal RNA", at positions 30 to 526 of the family's 1533-position model. The record is from RNAcentral.